GUGGGCUACGGGGACAUGUACCCGGAGACGGUCGGGGGGAAGCUGGUGGGCUCCAUGUGCGCCAUCGCCGGCGUGCUCACCAUCUCGCUGCCGGUGCCCGUCAUCGUGUCCAAC
Gasterosteus aculeatus (three-spined stickleback) is the source of this 114-nucleotide regulatory RNA element. It matches the Rfam family "Potassium channel RNA editing signal". Rfam says of the family: This family represents a group of sequences related to the human potassium channel Kv1.1 hairpin element which directs the efficient modification of an adenosine to inosine by an adenosine deaminase acting on RNA (ADAR). The ADAR modification causes an isoleucine/valine recoding event which lies in the ion-conducting pore of the potassium channel. It is thought that this editing event targets the process of fast inactivation and allows a more rapid recovery from inactivation at negative potentials. NCBI's taxonomy places the organism in Eukaryota, Metazoa, Chordata, Actinopteri, Perciformes, Gasterosteidae. The record is from Rfam.